UUAUCCGGAAUUACUGGGCGUAAAGGGUGCGUAGGUGGUUUCUUAAGUCAGAGGUGAAAGGCUACGGCUCAACCGUAGUAAGCCUUUGAAACUGGGAAACUUGAGUGCAGGAGAGGAGAGUGGAAUUCCUAGUGUAGCGGUGAAAUGCGUAGAUAUUAGGAGGAACACCAGUUGCGAAGGCGGCUCUCUGGACUGUAACUGACACUGAGGCACGAAAGCGUGGGGAGCAAACAGGAUUAGAUACCCUGGUAGUCCACGCCGUAAACGAUGAGUACUAGCUGUCGGAGGUUACCCCCUUCGGUGGCGCAGCUA
RNAcentral lists this ribosomal RNA (312 nucleotides) under uncultured bacterium. RNAcentral describes it as "bacterial SSU rRNA". It matches the Rfam family "Bacterial small subunit ribosomal RNA", at positions 541 to 854 of the family's 1533-position model. The record is from RNAcentral.